Molecule: transfer RNA, 75 nt
Filed under: Bacillota bacterium
Lineage: Bacteria; Bacillati; Bacillota
Also listed under: 5 other names
Description: tRNA-Thr
Rfam family: tRNA
About the family: Transfer RNA (tRNA) molecules are approximately 80 nucleotides in length. Their secondary structure includes four short double-helical elements and three loops (D, anti-codon, and T loops). Further hydrogen bonds mediate the characteristic L-shaped molecular structure. tRNAs have two regions of fundamental functional importance: the anti-codon, which is responsible for specific mRNA codon recognition, and the 3' end, to which the tRNAs corresponding amino acid is attached (by aminoacyl-tRNA synthetases). tRNAs cope with the degeneracy of the genetic code in two manners: having more than one tRNA (with a specific anti-codon) for a particular amino acid; and 'wobble' base-pairing, i.e. permitting non-standard base-pairing at the 3rd anti-codon position.
Source: RNAcentral
GCUGGCGUGGCUCAACGGUAGAGCAGCUGAUUUGUAAUCAGCAGGUUGUUGGUUCGAUUCCGAUCGCCAGCUCCA